Molecule: long non-coding RNA, 1065 nt
Organism: Trichoplusia ni (cabbage looper)
Lineage: Eukaryota; Metazoa; Arthropoda; Insecta; Lepidoptera; Noctuidae
Exons: 2
Source: RefSeq, a predicted model, not a curated record
CUCAUUGUUGUGAAUAUCAAAAAUUGGACACAUCAUGACAUGAAACGACAAAUACAAACGUAUCGAUCAAAACCAGCAGUCAAAAGUAAAUACUACGGAUUUCUUAUUGAAAUGGAGUGAAUAUAAAAAAAACCACACAGUAUGUUUUAUACCCACAAUAAACUGCAAUAAUGUCGAAACCCGACGCCAAGGAAACCAGACCCAAACGAGUUAUGCCUUUGUACAUGCACUUCAUCAUCGGUGGAACUUCAGGAAUGAUGGCUGUUACCUGCGUCGAAAUUUUCCGUAGGUUGUGGAGAUAAUAGGACAGAUAUUUAAGCCUAGCACGAUGAGGCCGUACGAGCUUUACUGCAAGCUUGACCUUCGCAAGAUCCUGUCUACCGGUAACUCUUACCUACACUACAAACUUGAAUUUGUAACGGCCUUUAUAUUAUUUGUUUUUAUAAAUCUGCUGAAAUUCGUCCAAAUUAAUUUUCUAACACUAUCCAGUUUUGUCAGAUGAUCGAGUACACUAGAAAUUCUAAUUCUCAAAUCAUAUGAGUCACCAGUGACUUCCAAUAAUUUUAUCUAAGCCAAACCUUUAGUGUCCGGCUAUUUUAUCAAGCAGUUUGUUAUGGUUGGUUUGGUUCGUAGAACUUUAACCAGCGUCUAUCGCGCUAGUCAAGGUGGUGCAGUGAUGCAGUGAACACGCGGCGCACCGCUCCGGGCCAACCUUACCUGCCAAGCUUACAAUGCGAAGGUGAACCCACUGGAGACUCAUUAUAAUUCUCAUAGAUUAGCAUAAUUUGAGAAAAGACUAAGCAGAAAAAUAAAUAUUAGACUUAGGGACGAGUAUAAUGGAAAGAUUUUAACUCCCGGUCGAUGAACUUUGUGGUUAAAUUUGUGAAGCGACUUUAAUAGUGCGUGUAGUCGCAAGGUUUAACUUAAUAGGUACUGUUACUACUAAUUAUUAUUUUACUUAUAACGUUUGUUUCAAUAUUCACUUACCUGGACCAAGAUUUCACCAGAGAGUUGCAAUGGGGAAAUCUUUUACAAAAACAUUAUUAAUAAAUAUUUGUGCAAAUA